GACGAACGCUGGCGGCGUGCUUAACACAUGCAAGUCGAACGAAGAGCGACGGAAGCUUGCUUCUAUCAAUCUUAGUGGCGAACGGGUGAGUAACGCGUAAUCAACCUGCCCUUCAGAGGGGGACAACAGUUGGAAACGACUGCUAAUACCGCAUACGAUCUAAUCUCGGCAUCGAGGAUAGAUGAAAGGUGGCCUCUACAUGUAAGCUAUCACUGAAGGAGGGGAUUGCGUCUGAUUAGCUAGUUGGAGGGGUAACGGCCCACCAAGGCGAUGAUCAGUAGCCGGUCUGAGAGGAUGAACGGCCACAUUGGGACUGAGACACGGCCCAGACUCCUACGGGAGGCAGCAGUGGGGAAUCUUCCGCAAUGGACGAAAGUCUGACGGAGCAACGCCGCGUGAGUGAUGACGGCCUUCGGGUUGUAAAGCUCUGUUAAUCGGGACGAAAGGCCUUCUUGCAA
Molecule: ribosomal RNA, 458 nt
Filed under: Veillonella parvula
Lineage: Bacteria; Bacillati; Bacillota; Negativicutes; Veillonellales; Veillonellaceae
Description: bacterial SSU rRNA
Rfam family: Bacterial small subunit ribosomal RNA
Source: RNAcentral